Molecule: ribosomal RNA, 500 nt
Filed under: uncultured bacterium
Lineage: Bacteria
Description: partial 16S ribosomal RNA
Rfam family: Bacterial small subunit ribosomal RNA
Source: RNAcentral
AUUGAACGCUGGCGGCAUGCCUUACACAUGCAAGUCGAACGGUAACAGGUCUUUCGGGAUGCUGACGAGUGGCGAACGGGUGAGUAAUACAUCGGAACGUGCCUAGUAGUGGGGGAUAACUACUCGAAAGAGUGGCUAAUACCGCAUGAGAUCUAUGGAUGAAAGCAGGGGACCUUCGGGCCUUGUGCUACUAGAGCGGCCGAUGGCAGAUUAGGUAGUUGGUGGGAUAAAAGCUUACCAAGCCUACGAUCUGUAGCUGGUCUGAGAGGACGAUCAGCCACACUGGGACUGAGACACGGCCCAGACUCCUACGGGAGGCAGCAGUGGGGAAUUUUGGACAAUGGGCGCAAGCCUGAUCCAGCAAUGCCGCGUGCAGGAUGAAGGCCUUCGGGUUGUAAACUGCUUUUGUACGGAACGAAAAGUCUUGAGUGAAUACCCUGGGAUCAUGACGGUACCGUAAGAAUAAGCACCGGCUAACUACGUGCCAGCAGCCGCAGUAA